CCUACGGGAGGCAGCAGUGGGGAAUAUUGCGCAAUGGGCGAAAGCCUGACGCAGCGACGCCGCGUGAGGGAUGAAGGUCUUCGGAUCGUAAACCUCUGUCAGCAGGGAAGAACGGUCACUGUGCUAAUCAGCAGUGAAUUGACGGUACCUGCAAAGGAAGCACCGGCUAACUCCGUGCCAGCAGCCGAGGUACUACGGAGGGUGCGAGCGUUAAUCGGAAUUACUGGGCGUAAAGCGCUCGUAGGGGGUCUGUCAAGUCACGGGUGAAAUCCCCGCGCUCAACGUGGGAACUGCCUUUGAAACUGGCAAACUUGAGUGUGUGAGAGGAUAGUGGAAUUCCAGGUGUAGGAGUGAAAUCCGUAGAUAUCUGGAGGAACAUCAGUGGCGAAGGCGACUAUCUGGCACAUAACUGACGCUGAGGAGCGAAAGCGUGGGUAGCAAACAGGAUUAGAUACCCCAGUAGUC
RNAcentral lists this ribosomal RNA (465 nucleotides) under uncultured bacterium. Its description in RNAcentral is "partial 16S ribosomal RNA". It matches the Rfam family "Bacterial small subunit ribosomal RNA", at positions 338 to 795 of the family's 1533-position model. The record is from RNAcentral.